This is a long non-coding RNA of Musa acuminata AAA Group (dessert banana), 1503 nucleotides long. RefSeq lists it as uncharacterized. The transcript has 8 exons. The record is from RefSeq and is a predicted model, not a curated record. Lineage: Eukaryota; Viridiplantae; Streptophyta; Magnoliopsida; Zingiberales; Musaceae.
AAAGACGACAAAGACGGUUGUUUUACAGUCGGUUAGGGUUCAGCCGAACCAAAUCCGGCAAUGCUGACUGCAAUGUUGAGGUCCUUCGCCACCCUCCUCCUCUCCGCCCUCCGCCGCUCGGAGAGUAACAAGUUCCGGCCGCUCGCCAUCCUCGUCCUCGGCGGCCGAAAGAGCCACGGAAGACAGGGAGCCAUGGCGGAAGGAGGUCCUUCUACACGGGGAGGAUCGACGAGAUCCAUGAGGGCCGAGGGAAGGACGGGGUUGGCGCGAAGAUGGAUUCGAUGGACCUAGAGAGGGGGAAGAGCAUCACGAUCCAGUCCGCAGCUACCUACUGCACCUGGAACGGAUAUCAGAUUAAUAUCAUUAAUACUCCUGCCACGCGGAUUUCACCAUUGACCGAGUCAAUACAACCUAUGAAUCAAGGCACAAGUACCGGAGGAGCAACAAGGCAAGCUAAGCUACGACAUCAUAGUGCGGCAAAAUCUAAGCUAUGACAUCAUAGUGCGGUGAUGCAAGUUCCAAUUGGAUUAGAAGAGGAAUUUGAGGAGCUUGUAGAUCUUGUAGAAUUGAAAGCAUAUAACUUCCAUGGAGCCAUCGGUGAGAGAAUUGUAACAGCUGAUAUUCCACAACUUGGAGGUACCGGUUACAGAAAAGCGGUGUGAGCUUAUUGAGGUUGUCUCUGAAUUAGAUGAUAAACUCACUGAAGCUUUGCUUAAUGAUGAACCGAUAUCUCCCGAUGACCUCAAGAUGGCAAUUCUUAGGGCAACUGUAGCAUGCAAAUUCUUUCCAGUCUACAUGGGAAGUGCUUUCAAGAACAAGAUAUAUUGAACCUCUACCAUUGGGUUCUCUUACGAAGUUUGAAGUUGAGAAUCUUAUCAUUGGGCAAGCAAUACCUUCAAACUUCAUUCCAGCAAUUGAGAAAGGGUUCAGAGAAGCUAGCAACUCGUGGUAUUGACAGAUGGGGCAUCACAAGCUGUUGAUUCCAGUGAGCUGGCAUUUAAGCUAGCAGCUAUAUAUGCAUUUAGACAGCCGAGCCUGUCAUAUUGGAACCCUUGAUGGAAGUGGCAUUGAAAGUGCCAUCAGAAUUCCAGGGCGCUAUUACUGGUGAUAUUAACAAGUGAGUGUUGUGCAUUAUGAUUGAACUGUUACUAUUUUAUCUCAUCUCUAUAUCCUGUAUGAAUAACAGGAGGAAAGGUAUGAUUGUUGGAAACGACCAGGAUGGUGAUGGUACUGUGGUUGUUGCUCAUGUAUGUAGAUUCCAAUCUUCUCUUUUGAAUGAUCUGCUAACAUGUAGAAAUUGCAUAUUGAUGCGACCUGGCCAGUAACUGUGGUUGUCGCUCACGUAUUUAGUUUCCAAUCUUCUCCUCUGAAUGAUCUGCCAACUUGUAGAAAUUGCAUAUUGAUGCGACCUGGUCAGCAACUGUGGUUGUCGCUCAUGUAUGUACAUUCCAAUCUUCUCCUCUGAAUGAUCUGCUAACAUGUAGAAAUUGCAUAUUGAUGCGA